GACGAACGCUGGCGGCGUGCCUAAUACAUGCAAGUCGAACGCAUUUUCUUUCACCGUAGCUUGCUACACCGAAAGAAAAUGAGUGGCGAACGGGUGAGUAACACGUGGGUAACCUGCCCAUCAGCGGGGGAUAACACUUGGAAACAGGUGCUAAUACCGCAUAAUUCCAUUUACCGCAUGGUAAAUGGAUGAAAGGCGCUUUUGCGUCACUGAUGGAUGGACCCGCGGUGCAUUAGCUAGUUGGUGGGGUAACGGCCUACCAAGGCUGCGAUGCAUAGCCGACCUGAGAGGGUGAUCAGCCACACUGGGACUGAGACACGGCCCAGACUCCUACGGGAGGCAGCAGUAGGGAAUCUUCGGCAAUGGACGCAAGUCUGACCGAGCAACGCCGCGUGAGUGAAGAAGGUUUUCGGAUCGUAAAACUCUGUUGUUAGAGAAGAACAAGGAUGAGAGUGGAAAGUUCAUCCCUUGACGGUAUCUAACCAGAAAGCCACGGCUAACUACGUG
This 507-nucleotide ribosomal RNA is filed under the name uncultured bacterium. RNAcentral's name for it is "partial 16S ribosomal RNA". It matches the Rfam family "Bacterial small subunit ribosomal RNA", at positions 28 to 507 of the family's 1533-position model. The record is from RNAcentral.